CCUACGGGAGGCAGCAGUGAGGAAUAUUGGUCAAUGGGCGAGAGCCUGAACCAGCCAAGUCGCGUGAGGGAGUACUGCCCUAUGGAUUGUAAACCUCUUUUGUCGGGGAGCAAAAGCCGGACCUGUCCGGCUGUGAGAGUACCCGAAGAAAAAGCAUCGGCUAACUCCGUGCCGGCAACCGGCGUAAUACGGAGGGUGCGAGCUUUAUCCGGAUUUAUUUGGGUUAAAGGGUUCGGUGGGGGGUUUUUAAGUCUGCGGUAAAAUCGGGGGGGUAAACCCCAGCCAGCCGUUGAGACUGGGGGGCUAGAGUGUGCGAGAGGUAGGCGGAAUGCGUGGUGUAGCGGUGAAAUGCAUAGAUAUCACGCAGAACCCCGAUUGCGAAGGCAGCAUGCCGGUGCACAACUGACGCUGAGGCACGAAAGCGUGGGGAUCGAACAGGAUUAGAUACCCGAGUAGUC
Molecule: ribosomal RNA, 458 nt
Filed under: uncultured bacterium
Lineage: Bacteria
Description: partial 16S ribosomal RNA
Rfam family: Bacterial small subunit ribosomal RNA
Source: RNAcentral